RNAcentral lists this ribosomal RNA (378 nucleotides) under uncultured bacterium. RNAcentral describes it as "bacterial SSU rRNA". It matches the Rfam family "Bacterial small subunit ribosomal RNA", at positions 28 to 425 of the family's 1533-position model. The record is from RNAcentral.
GAUAAACGCUGGCGGCGUGCCUUAUGCAUGCAAGUCGAACGUGAAGCCGACUUCGGUUGGUGGAAAGUGGCGAACGGGUGAGUAACACGUAGGAACCUGCCCGGAAGUGGGGGAUAACUCCGCGAAAGCGGGGCUAAUACCGCAUGUGGUCGAAAGAUUAAAGCUUCGGCGCUUCCGGAGGGGCCUGCGGCGGAUUAGCUAGUUGGUGGGGUAACGGCCUACCAAGGCGACGAUCCGUAGCUGGUCNGAGAGGAUGGUCAGCCACACUGGAACUGAGACACGGUCCAGACUCCUACGGGAGGCAGCAGCAAGGAAUUUUGCGCAAUGGGCGAAAGCCUGACGCAGCAACGCCGCGUGGGGGAAGAAGGCCUUCGGUUG